Molecule: small nuclear RNA, 164 nt
Organism: Ochotona princeps (American pika)
Lineage: Eukaryota; Metazoa; Chordata; Mammalia; Lagomorpha; Ochotonidae
Gene: U1
Rfam family: U1 spliceosomal RNA
About the family: U1 is a small nuclear RNA (snRNA) component of the spliceosome (involved in pre-mRNA splicing). Its 5' end forms complementary base pairs with the 5' splice junction, thus defining the 5' donor site of an intron.
Source: Ensembl
AUACCUACCUGGCAGGGGAGAUACCAUGAUCAGGCAGGUGGUUUUCCCAGGGUGAGGCUCCUCCAUUGCAAUUGGGAGGUGCUGACCCCUGCGAUUUCCCCAAAUGUGGGAAACUCGACUGCAUAAUUUGUGGUAGUGGGGGACUGCGUUCGCGCUCUCCCCUA